ACAUACUUCUUUAUGCGUCCAUAUGAACAAGAGGAACUAUGGAAUGUAAAGAAGUAUGUAU
This is a microRNA precursor of Hucho hucho (huchen), 61 nucleotides long. Lineage: Eukaryota; Metazoa; Chordata; Actinopteri; Salmoniformes; Salmonidae. The record is from Ensembl.